AAAAACAUCACAACACACCAAUAAUCUCAACCAGACCCCAGACCCGGCGUCAAUGAAACCCGAAUCAAUCCGUAACCCACUCAUACAUGAUCUUCAUCACACGUCCCACACUAAUUUUUAUGAUGAAAAUGCUAAGAAACUUCUAGAAAUCGAUGCGUUGGCCUCUCCAAUGGUUCAAUCCCACAUUUCUCGGAUAAGAUUGUAUAAUUUCAUACAUAUUUGGCUGAUUUCCAUUGGUUUUGGGGGGAAAUUUAUUUUACCAUAUUUUAAUUGUUUCACCCAUUGCAAUCCCUUAGAAAAUAGGUACAAAUUAAAGAUUAAAAUGGGUUGUGGGGAGGGGUUUUCUAAUUUCAAAUUCAAAUAUCCUUCUUUUAAAUCCCAAAAAGGACCCCAACUCAGUCUUCUAUAAAAAGACCUCUUGGGUCACUGUUUAGGGGGAUUUUUCUCUCUUCUUCCCUUAUGGGUUUGAAAUUUUGGGUUGAGAAUUUGGGGGUUUUAAGAAAAGCUGAGAAAGAAAAGGAGUUGGAACAUUUUCUGAGAGAAACUUCCAGUUCAAAAUUACUGAGGGAGAAAGAAAAGAGGGAGACUUUUUGGAGAAAACUCAGUCUUUCAAUAGAAAUUUUGUUCUUUCUUAGAGAGUUCAUCGGCUAGGAAAAAAAUUCUGAGUUGACGAUAAUAUUCUCUGGUGGUGGCAAGUCCGACAUUAGUUUGAAAUUCUCGUUUUGCUGUUCAAUAUCCAGUUAGUCUUUGAAUCUCUCUUAUUUAUAUAGUUGUAAUGUAAUAGUAGUAGUGGUAGUUUAGGAAUCAAAUUCGGUGCUUGGUUGUGGUAUUAAGCUGGUUGUUACUCGUGUUUCUUUCUCGUUUCUGUGUCUGUAUACAUUGCUCUAUGUAUAUGGUAGGAUGAUGAGUGAAUACGCAAUGAUGCUGUCUUUAUUGUGGUUAAAUAAAAAUGAAGGAGGUCCUCAUUGCUGAAUGUUUGUUGCGUUGCUCAGUGUCUAUGGUGAAGUUUAGGUUCAGUUGAUUUCUUGGAUUUUCUAUUUUGUUGGUUCUUUUAGUUAUUAUGUCCUAG
This 1069-nucleotide long non-coding RNA is filed under the name Capsicum annuum. Its description in RNAcentral is "long non-coding RNA (CANN_LNC000948)". Lineage: Eukaryota; Viridiplantae; Streptophyta; Magnoliopsida; Solanales; Solanaceae. The record is from RNAcentral.